UUGUCAACGCAAUGUGUGGAAGUCAGGAUUUAAUAAUGACAUAUCUGGUCAACGCGGUUUGUUCUGACGUUAUUGGCAUGGAACCGAGAACGAUUUUUUUUUUUUUUUCUGGUCGAUUGAAUAAAAUAAAAUAUCUGAGCAAAUAGUGCAUGUUACACUUACACAGUCACUGGAUUUGUUUUACAGUCACUGUUCAAAUGUUACUUAUUAUUAUUUAUUUAUUUUUCAUUUGUCAGAAAUGUACCAAAUUUAUUAGUUUACAAAAAUU
This 268-nucleotide long non-coding RNA is filed under the name Capsella rubella. RNAcentral's name for it is "long non-coding RNA (CRUB_LNC000627)". The record is from RNAcentral. Lineage: Eukaryota; Viridiplantae; Streptophyta; Magnoliopsida; Brassicales; Brassicaceae.